AGCGCACCAACAUCUUCCGCUGAGCUGAUAGCCUACUUAGAGGGCUCUCGACCUGUCUAUUGGGACCUGCGGGCAUGAAAUGCAGCAUCCCCAGGCAAAAGGGACGUCAAUACGAAUAAUGUACCGAGUAUGUAAGGAACAUAAAUAAGUAUACAAUAGACAUGGAAGAAAUAUAGAGUAAAUAACUCAACUUGUNNNNNNNNNNNNNNNNNNNNNNNNNCAUAACAUCAUCAAGCCUCUGAGGUCAUCCCAUCAUAUCAUCUUGGCCACUGUGGGUAAAUCAUCAAUAUAUACCAGUUGAUCAGGUGGUGAUGUGUAUAUAAUGCCGUAACCUUUUCCCAUGUCCCAUAUACAUAUAUAUACAUAUAUAUGCGUAUAUACCGCCGUCUGAGUCAUGGGUAAAUGCACAUGUAAAUGAAUGCAAUGCAUGAGAAGUACUUUAAUAAAACUUCUCGGAACAUCAUAAUACCAUUAUACCUCUGAUUAAUAUCAUGAAAUAAACUUUUUUUUUCAAUUACGUAUUUUUCUAAGACCCAUGAACAGAAGAUGUAAUAAUAAGACAUAUGGGAAUUCAAGAAUAUAGGCACAUCUAAUACUUCUAUGAAUAGAGUCAUUUAUAGAAUAACAUUACCUUUACCUAUCGUUACUUGGAUUAUGCCAAAAGAAAAAAGGGAUGGUCAUACCGUACCUUUAUCGCCAAAUUUCUACUUGUAUCCAUGAAUAAUCACCUUAAAAAUGGACGAAAGACGAUGUUUUAAUUACUGCACAAGCCAAUCAUCAUCUAGUUUACCAAUUAUAGAUUGAAAUAUUGAAAGAGAAAGCUCAUUUCUCAGUAUAUCCUUGACAAUGAAAUCGAAAAUGGAUUUGGGGAAUCCUUCAGCCAUAGUUUGAGGAGAAGAAAAAGAAUGGUAUCUAUAGAAUAAGAACAAGAAAGAAGAGAGAUGCCAAAUUGGUUAACUUUAGC
This 964-nucleotide long non-coding RNA is filed under the name Nicotiana tabacum (common tobacco). Its description in RNAcentral is "long non-coding RNA (NTAB_LNC009490)". The record is from RNAcentral. Lineage: Eukaryota; Viridiplantae; Streptophyta; Magnoliopsida; Solanales; Solanaceae.